CUGUCCUGGGUGUUUAUCAUCCUCGGUGGCUCUGCUCAGGGUGGGAGGAGGCGGCGCGGGGAGUGGGUAGGUGGACGAGUGGGUGGGUGUGGGGUCGCGCGCGCGGGCCGGUCUCUGCGGGCUAAGUCCCUGUCAGGCCGCGGGCCGAGAGCCCUCCUCUUGCCUCAGCGAGCGCCUGCCUCCAACUGACCCUCCCCGGCCGCCGCCGCCGCGCAACCGCCCCGCCCCCAAGCGCCUCAUCUGCAUAGCCCCACCCAGCGCCGCUUGGUGUCCUGGGAAACUGGGGCCCACAACAAAGGGCAAAGCACCGCCCCGCCUUAGGCGCAGGCGUAGCAAGGGCAAGCUAUCAUCUUGGGAAGAGGGGCGGGAGCCCGGGGGAAAGCCAGGAAGGAGGUCUGGAUGCCAGGGACUCAGACUUUGUAGCUCAGACUAGCUUCAAUCAAACUCGCUGUAAAAUGACUGCCUUUACUUCCUACCUUUCCACCAAGUGCUGGGAAUAUGAGUGUGCCUUGCCACACUGGGCACUUGCUGCUCUUUGUGUAUGGCCCGAAGAGUUAUGUCAUUAAACAAAACAAAAUCUGAAAUAGAAGAAUUACUAUUCACUAUUAGUACCAUUUCCAGUAUGAAUCUAAUCCCACAGAUCUUUUCCUUCAAUUCAUAAUGCAGAUUAAUCAGUCAAUGGACAGCAAGCACCUUUAUUGCCCCAGCCAUCUUGCUGGUCCCCCACUGUGGGUUGAAAAUAACCAUCUCUCCAUUUUGGAGAAAAUCUCAAGUCAGCCCCUCACAACAGUGACUGACCAAGCACACUGCCAUGUGAAGCCAGCUUUGUAGGUCAAGAUUAUAGGCUCCUCACUAACUUACCGACAAUUGUCUCCAGUCAGUCAAUGCAAGCUACUUCAAUGGACCAUGCAAGGCACCUAGUGCACUGCCACUGUCUUGACUGGUCCUCUAAUCACAGAUUGGUGUCAAACCUGUGCAUAGACUGCAAUCAGUAGCCAUUGUGUAAGCCUUUAUCCUAGCACCAGAGGCAGGGACAGGUGGAUCUCUGCAAAUUAAACACCAGCUUGUGGUAUGCAGUGCGUUCCAGUCUAGCCAAUGCAACACAACGAGACCCUAUCUCAGACGGGGGCAGGAGGGGGUGGUAGUGCGCUCUCAGACCACAGUGGUCACCUCAAAUCAUCCAUUCAUUUAGUCCAAGUUCAGUAAAUAAACAUGUACUCACUUAUGUGCUUCUGGCAUGGGCAGGAGUCCAGGAAUAUUCCACGAUGGGCUGGGCAAUAUACCUACCUUGGAUGUCACAAUCUGGCCAGGGAGAGAGGCCAUCACAAUAUGAGCUGCUCUAACCAACCAAGGCCCAGGCUCCCAGCUCCACACCUGUGAUCAGCUCCUUGAUCAGGCCUUUUGGGAUGAAAGCUCCAAGACUGAAAAAUAAAAAGGAAUUACUGUGUAAUUAAAUUCUUUGACUUUG
RNAcentral lists this small RNA (1468 nucleotides) under Rattus norvegicus (Norway rat). Its description in RNAcentral is "uncharacterized LOC103693122". Lineage: Eukaryota; Metazoa; Chordata; Mammalia; Rodentia; Muridae. The record is from RNAcentral.